CCUACGGGUGGCAGCAGUGGGGAAUAUUGCACAAUGGGGGAAACCCUGAUGCAGCGACGCCGCGUGAGUGAAGAAGUAUUUCGGUAUGUAAAGCUCUAUCAGCAGGGAAGAAAAAAGACGGUACCUGACUAAGAAGCCCCGGCUAACUACGUGCCAGCAGACGCGGUAAUACGGAGGGGGGAAGCGUUAUCCGGAUUGACUGGGAGUAAAGGGAGCGUAGACGGCGCGGCAAGUCUGAAGUGAAAGGCAGGGGCUUAACCCCUUAACUGCUUUGGAAAAUGCCAUGCUAGAGUGCGGGAGAGGUGAGUGGAAUUCCUAGGGUAGCGGUGAAAUGCGUAGGUAUUAGAAGGAACACCAGUGGCGAAGGCGGCUUACUGGACAGUAACUGACGUUGAGGCUCGAAAGCGUGGGGAGCAAACAGGAUUAGAUACCCUAGUAGUC
This 441-nucleotide ribosomal RNA is filed under the name uncultured bacterium. Its description in RNAcentral is "partial 16S ribosomal RNA". It matches the Rfam family "Bacterial small subunit ribosomal RNA", at positions 338 to 795 of the family's 1533-position model. The record is from RNAcentral.